This 406-nucleotide ribosomal RNA is filed under the name uncultured bacterium. RNAcentral's name for it is "partial 16S ribosomal RNA". It matches the Rfam family "Bacterial small subunit ribosomal RNA", at positions 30 to 526 of the family's 1533-position model. The record is from RNAcentral.
AUUGAACGCUGGCGGCAGGCCUAACACAUGCAAGUCGAACGAGUGGCGGACGGGUGAGUAAUGUCUGGGAAACUGCCUGAUGGAGGGGGAUAACUACUGUAAACGGUAGCUAAUACCGCAUACCAUCGGAUGUGCCCAGAUGGGAUUAGCUAGUCGGUGGGGUAACGGCGCACCUAGGCGACGCUCCCUAGCUGGUCUGAGAGGAUGACCAGCCACACUGGAACUGAGACACGGUCCAGACUCCUGCGGGAGGCAGCAGUGGGGAAAAUUGCACAAUGGGCGCAAGCCUGAUGCAGCCAGGCCGCGUGUAUGAAGAAGGCCUUCGGGUUGUAAAGGACUUUCCGCGGGGAGGCGUUACCUGCAGAAGAAGCACCGGCUAACUCCGUGCCAGCAGCCGCGGUAAUUC